Long non-coding RNA from Drosophila virilis, 1947 nucleotides. RefSeq lists it as uncharacterized. The record is from RefSeq and is a predicted model, not a curated record. Lineage: Eukaryota; Metazoa; Arthropoda; Insecta; Diptera; Drosophilidae.
UGUUACUUCUUCUGCAAGAGGCACAAGAAUUGGCUACGGUAUCCUGGACUUUCUGGCAGAUGGAAAAAGAAACUGAACUCGCUGCCAGCCUCAGGAGUCGUUGACUACAAUUUCAGUUUAACCAGCCCAAGCUUCAGCCUAAGCCCCGAGUACCAUUCCUAUUCCCAGGCGCAGGCUCAAACCCAGGCCCAAUUUUGCCCGCCUUGCGGUUAAAAGCAAUUAAUUUUGCAGGUUUAUUAUUGCCCUGGCACAUCUUUGCCUGUUUGUCAUUUAAAACGAUAUUUAUCAUUGUUGCCGGCUCGAGCUCAUUUGCAUACUCCGAAAAUGGGCCACUCGCCGCUGAGGGCCAAACUAGGAACCGGAACUGGGAACUGGGAACUUGAAUCUGGGAACGGGGAACUGAAACAGAAACUGAGACUGGGAGUGUCCUACGCCCGAUAACUUUUACUACGUAUUUUUAGUAUUUUAUUCUCUUUUUUUUCUUGGCCGUUUCCUUUCUUGUGUCUAUUUGCUUUUAUUUUUGUUGUUUUGUUUUCUUUUUUUGUGGUGGGAAGGCCUGGCAGCUUUUUCACUUCAUCAAUUAACCAAAGGCACCAAAAUUGUGUUUUUGUCUCUAAUUAGCAUGCACAUAAACAGAGUGAAUCCUAUUAAGGACCCUCUGCUCCCUCCAGCUGCCCCGACCCCGAGCCCCAAAGACGCCCCCGCCCCCACUUCUACCCACAACCGAACCCAAGCCAUCGAAGUUGUAAAAACUGAGCGAUAAAUACUGUGGCAAGUGGGCGACGGUCAUCAGCUUAGAGCUCGUAUACAUCAGGAGUCUUGUCUCAUUACCAGCUCAAAGGAGAGGGGCGAGCGCGUGCCGGGUGGGGGGCUGCUGCGAUGGCGAAAGGGCGGUUGACCGGUUGGACAUUAGCUGGUGGCAAUGUUGGUGAAAAGAAACCAACACUCAAGAGAAUGUCACCAACAAAAAAGAAACAAAAUGGAAAGCUAUACUUGCCUAGGCGAUACCCUGUACUCAGGCAUUACUUCGCUUUCUAGUUUGUUAAAUCUCUGAUAAACGAGCAAUUAACAGACAUCAUCUAGCUCUUGAUGGCGCACACACGCAACACUAUAAGAUAGCCUUGAUUCUGCCCGUUUAAUACGCACAGCUAAUUAUGCCUGAUUAAUGCAAUUAGCGGCCAUUUUCGAACAAAGGCAAAUGCACGCCUCAUGAAUGGAAGAAGCUGGCCAACAUCACAAAUAUACUUUGAAGCAUGGCUGCAAGCGGGCUUUGAGCCGAACCGAUGCCGGCCGGACUUCCAAUUCAUUUUGUACCAACAACUGAACUUAAACACCAAACGAAAGAUGUCUCAAAUAUGGCACACAGCAUUAAUUGCUUGAAGUGUGGAGUAUAAGGGGCAACUGUAGUUUAAAGCAUCAAUUUUUUAAUUAAGCUUUGUUUAUAUACAUCUUUCUUUAUCAAUUAAUAAUUGGGCUAAUACUAAAAUAUAUAUUUUAAUCCGAAUUUUACAGUAUGUCGGAUACAUCAAUCUGCUGGCUGUAAAGGAUGACGAGAGCUCCGAAACUUGAAUAUUGAGAGGAUUGAGAUGACCAGAGCAUGCGAUUAUAAGUCUUUACUGCAGGCUAGCUAAUCAAGUCAACAAAGGAGUUGCACCCCUCCAGUUCAGGCCAAUUGUCGAUUUAUGUAAAGGGCCUCAGAAGAACACACGCCUUUUCAGAGCAGGACACUCUGAUGUCAAGCGAAAGGUUUUAUUUGUUUUUAUUUUUCAAAUAAACGCCCUUAGUUAAGACAGCUUCUUGGCCAGGCCAGGCCAGUCCCAGAUUUAGUCUAAUUAAAAAAAAAAAUCAACGGAGCCAUGUCGCUAUAAAACGACAUAAUCUAUUCUGAAGGAGUUAGUUGGACCUAUGUCGCUAUAAAACGACAUAAUCUUUUCUGGAGGAGUUAGU